AGAGUUUGAUCCUGGCUCAGGACGAACGCUGGCGGCGUGCCUAAUGCAUGCAAGUCGCACGCGCGGAGCUUGCUCCGUGAGUGGCGCACGGCUGAGGACCACGUGGGAACAUGCCUCCUUGUGGGGGACAACACCGCGAAAGCGGUGCUAAUCCCGCAUACGCUCGGCAACGAGGAAAGCGGUAACGCGCAGGGAGAGUGGCCCGCGGCCCAUCAGGUCGUAGGUGGGGUAACGGCCUACCUAGCCGAUGACGCGUAGCUGGUCUGAGAGGAUGAUCAGCCACACUGGGACUGAGACACGGCCCAGACUCCUACGGGAGGCAGCAGUGGGGAAUAUUGGACAAUGGGCGCAAGCCUGAUCCAGCCACGCCGCGUGAGUGAUGAAGGCCUUCGGGUCGUAAAGCUCUGUGGGGAGGGACGAACCGCCGGAUGUUCAUAGCAUCCGGCAUGACGGUACCUCCUUAGCAAGCACCGGCUAACUUCGUGCCAGCAGCCGCGGUAAUAC
This 504-nucleotide ribosomal RNA is filed under the name uncultured bacterium. RNAcentral's name for it is "bacterial SSU rRNA". It matches the Rfam family "Bacterial small subunit ribosomal RNA", at positions 8 to 526 of the family's 1533-position model. The record is from RNAcentral.